This 257-nucleotide unclassified non-coding RNA is filed under the name Hevea brasiliensis (rubber tree). The record is from RNAcentral. Lineage: Eukaryota; Viridiplantae; Streptophyta; Magnoliopsida; Malpighiales; Euphorbiaceae.
AACAAAUCCUCCGAGAGCCAUGACUACCAACAUUGCAAAAGAUCCAAAGGUAUUAGCAACUAUCAUAUUUCUGCCUAGUGAUGCCAUCACACGGAAAAGUCCUAUUGACAUCUGAUGCAAUGAGAAAUACAACAGAAACUGACGGAAGCACCUGGUUAUUUGAGGAUCAAAGCCAACCACAUAGUAUGUAGCUGCAACCCAAAUAAUGGACUCUAAAAGUGAUGUGGGAAUACUCAAAAGCCAAGACGGAAGAGUGU